RNAcentral lists this ribosomal RNA (999 nucleotides) under Mycobacterium sp. DWMJ-516A1. RNAcentral's name for it is "partial 16S ribosomal RNA". It matches the Rfam family "Bacterial small subunit ribosomal RNA", at positions 80 to 1061 of the family's 1533-position model. Lineage: Bacteria; Bacillati; Actinomycetota; Actinomycetes; Mycobacteriales; Mycobacteriaceae. The record is from RNAcentral.
GCUCUUAUGAAGUUAGCGGCGGACGGGUGAGUAACACGUGGGUAACCUGCCCAUAAGACUGGGAUAACUCCGGGAAACCGGGGCUAAUACCGGAUAACAUUUUGAACCGCAUGGUUCGAAAUUGAAAGGCGGCUUCGGCUGUCACUUAUGGAUGGACCCGCGUCGCAUUAGCUAGUUGGUGAGGUAACGGCUCACCAAGGCAACGAUGCGUAGCCGACCUGAGAGGGUGAUCGGCCACACUGGGACUGAGACACGGCCCAGACUCCUACGGGAGGCAGCAGUAGGGAAUCUUCCGCAAUGGACGAAAGUCUGACGGAGCAACGCCGCGUGAGUGAUGAAGGCUUUCGGGUCGUAAAACUCUGUUGUUAGGGAAGAACAAGUGCUAGUUGAAUAAGCUGGCACCUUGACGGUACCUAACCAGAAAGCCACGGCUAACUACGUGCCAGCAGCCGCGGUAAUACGUAGGUGGCAAGCGUUAUCCGGAAUUAUUGGGCGUAAAGCGCGCGCAGGUGGUUUCUUAAGUCUGAUGUGAAAGCCCACGGCUCAACCGUGGAGGGUCAUUGGAAACUGGGAGACUUGAGUGCAGAAGAGGAAAGUGGAAUUCCAUGUGUAGCGGUGAAAUGCGUAGAGAUAUGGAGGAACACCAGUGGCGAAGGCGACUUUCUGGUCUGUAACUGACACUGAGGCGCGAAAGCGUGGGGAGCNAACAGGAUUAGAUACCCUGGUAGUCCACGCCGUAAACGAUGAGUGCUNAGUGUUAGAGGGUUUCCGCCCUUUAGUGCUGAAGUUAACGCAUUAAGCACUCCGCCUGGGGGAGUACNGNCGCAAGGCUNAAACUCAAANGAAUUGACGGGGGNCCNCNCAAGCGGUGGANCAUGUGGNUUAANNNNNAGCAACNCGAANNNNNUUANCNGGUCUNGACAUNCUCUGANACCNNNNNANAUAGGGNUUNUCCNUUCGGGAGCANNNUGACAGGNGGNGCAUGGUUGNCGUCAGCUC